GGCACUGUGGCUUAGUUGGUCAAAACACCUGUCUAGUAAACAGGAGAUCCUAGGUCCCAGAAUCCCAGCAGUGCCU
RNAcentral lists this transfer RNA (76 nucleotides) under Danio rerio (zebrafish). It matches the Rfam family "tRNA". Rfam says of the family: Transfer RNA (tRNA) molecules are approximately 80 nucleotides in length. Their secondary structure includes four short double-helical elements and three loops (D, anti-codon, and T loops). The record is from Rfam by way of RNAcentral. Lineage: Eukaryota; Metazoa; Chordata; Actinopteri; Cypriniformes; Danionidae.